Molecule: ribosomal RNA, 418 nt
Filed under: Novosphingobium ginsenosidimutans
Lineage: Bacteria; Pseudomonadati; Pseudomonadota; Alphaproteobacteria; Sphingomonadales; Sphingomonadaceae
Description: bacterial SSU rRNA
Rfam family: Bacterial small subunit ribosomal RNA
Source: RNAcentral
CCUACGGGCGGCAGCAGUGGGGAAUAUUGGACAAUGGGCGAAAGCCUGAUCCAGCAAUGCCGCGUGAGUGAUGAAGGCCUUAGGGUUGUAAAGCUCUUUUACCAGGGAUGAUAAUGACAGUACCUGGAGAAUAAGCUCCGGCUAACUCCGUGCCAGCAGCCGCGGUAAUACGGAGGGAGCUAGCGUUGUUCGGAAUUACUGGGCGUAAAGCGCACGUAGGCGGCUACUCAAGUCAGAGGUGAAAGCCCGGGGCUCAACCCCGGAACUGCCUUUGAAACUAGGUAGCUAGAAUCUUGGAGAGGUCAGUGGAAUUCCGAGUGUAGAGGUGAAAUUCGUAGAUAUUCGGAAGAACACCAGUGGCGAAGGCGACUGACUGGACAAGUAUUGACGCUGAGGUGCGAAAGCGUGGGGAGCAAAC